Molecule: ribosomal RNA, 420 nt
Filed under: uncultured Rhodoplanes sp.
Lineage: Bacteria; Pseudomonadati; Pseudomonadota; Alphaproteobacteria; Hyphomicrobiales; Nitrobacteraceae
Description: bacterial SSU rRNA
Rfam family: Bacterial small subunit ribosomal RNA
Source: RNAcentral
GGGGGCCGCUUAACCAUGGCAGGUCGAGGCGCUGUAGCAAUAAGAGCGGCGCACGGGUGAGUACACGUGCCCACUUUGCCCUUUGGUUCGGAAAACUCAGGGAAACUUGAGCUAAUACCGGAUGAGCCCUAACGGGGAAAGAUUUAUCGCCGAAGGAGCGGCCCGCGUCGGAUUAGCUAGUUGGUGGGGUAAUAGCCUACCAAGGCAACGAUCCGUAGCUGGUUUGAGAGAACGACCAGCCACACUGGGACUGAGACACGGCCCAGACUCCUACGGGAGGCAGCAGUGGGGAAUCUUGGACAAUGGGGGAAACCCUGAUCCAGCCAUGCCGCGUGAGUGAUGAAGGCCCUAGGUUUGUAAAACUCUUUCGGUGGGGACGAUAAUGACGGUACCCGCAGAAGAAGCUCCGGCUAACUUCGU